GCAUUUUCUUCUUCACCAUAACCACCUCUUCUUCUUCUUCUCUCUCUGAAAACCCUAAUCCUGGAUCCUUCUCUACCCAUCGUUCUCUCUUUACCUUUAGCUUCCUCAACAGGAUCAGGAAUCAAAGUGGUGAAAUGGAAGAAUUUGGUUACGGGUAUGAGUCAUAUUUCUUCUUCUCAUGAAUGUUUCUUAACAACAGAAAAUGGUACCGCCUUGGAUAGUGUUUUAGUUGGUCUAGGUUUUAUGUAGGGUUUGUUAAGGAUCUUGUAGGUGUAUUAAAAUGUUGAUUUCAUCAGGGAUGUGGAGUUGGGAAAGGUUUGAUCAUUGUUCCUAUGAUAUGAUUGUCAAUGGAGUGGCAAUUUGAGUCAUGUAAAAAAAUAAAUAAAUAAAAUUCAUUAUUAUCUGAGUAUUAAUUAAAUUGAAUUUACUGGGGGAUCAUGGAGAACGUGUGUGAUGUCAAUCAGUUGGAUGCUGAUGUUCUCUUGCCACCUCGGAAACGUCUUCUUGCCGGAUUGAAAAAACAAAGUUCAGAUGGUGAUGCUACUGCAUCUCCAUCUCCCGUUGCUGCUUCUUGUGUUACAGAUGUUGCUUCCCCUUCUUGCUUGUCCUUUUCAAGUGAGUUCGAAGCCCGGCUUAAGCAUUUGUUGAGUUUUCAUUCAAAUAACCCUAACCUUACACCUGAGGAGGUAGUGGAGGCAUCAAAAACAGCAGCUGUUACUGCAACUAAGGCUGCGGAGGCUGCAAGAACCGCAGCUGUAGGAAAAGCUGCAAUAGCAGCAAAGGCCGUUGCUGCGGCCAAGAGUGCUUUAGAUUUCGUUGCAUCUUUCUCUGAGGAGGCAACCAGCAAGGAAAGAAAUCUGAAAAGGAGCAAGUUAAAGAAGCAUCUCCCAGUUCAGCUGUUGUACAAAAAAUACCAACCAAAUGAAAUUUGUAGGACAGAUGAAGAAUUAGCUCGUAAGUUACAUCGAGCCAUGAAUAGUUCUCCAAGAAUCUCUAAGAAUUCUCCAAAUUCAGUAUCAAAAGGUAGUAAACACAAGAAGCCUAAAAGCUCUUCAAGUUUUGAAAUAACUGAGGGCUCUGCAUCUGCAUCUGCUAUGGCAUUUGGACAAGAUUGCUUAUCUUUGAACAACAGCCAUGCGGUAGCUGGCAAAAUUGAUUCUGAAGGAUCCAUCCAAGAGGUUUGCUCAAGUAAGAAAGAUAAGAAGGGAUUCAAAUAUGAUAGAUCUUGCCAAAUAGAGAUAGAUAAUGCUGAAGCAGAGUCAAGCCAGUCAAAAGAUAAAAAAACUGAAGAUUUGUCUUCCAUGGGUAAGAAGAGAGGAAGGGCAAAGCUAAAAAAGUUGCCCUUAAGCAUUUGCACCUCAAAAGAUAGGGAACAGCCAAAGGAAGUAAUAAGAGCCAGAAGUUCUCUAUUGACUGAAAUGAAUACAGGAAGUCAUCCUGUUGGUAGUAUACCCAUGUUUCCUGUGGAGCCAUCCACUGACAGAGUGAUGCCAAUUGAGGCUACAUCAAUGUGGAAAUGCCAAGAGUUCAAGGCACCGGUUUGUAUCAAACAAAAUAAAGCUGUGCAGUCAUAAUGUUCUUAUAUUACUUUGGGAUGACUGUGUGCUAUUGUGACAAAUGUUGAUAGCUGAGCUCCGUGAAAUGGGGAUCCUGCCAUUGAAAAUUUAGAUGUUGCUCAAGAUAUUCUACUUAUUGAAUAAACUGCAUUGUGAUCGACCAAUGAAGAAGACUAUACAAAAGAAUUACUUUCCUUGCAUUAAAAGGUAACGUUGAAAAGAAGCUUCUGUAAAGCAUAAGAGGUACAACACUCAAGUGGGAAGAAACGUGCACAGGGAAUAAAGCGUUCCUAUUGGCUAAGAGAAAAGCAAGGCAUGAGGGACUGCAGAAGAAAAGACAAAUCUCAACAACAAGUGUCCCAUCCAAGCAACUUGCGUCCCUCUGAGCUCUGUUCACACCGCCCCUUUCAUGCAGUUAAGAAAACAACUCAAUGGAAAUUACAAGUUUUGUCAUCCACUCUUUUGCCUAUAAAUAGGACGUUCCAGCACGAAGAAGAUCAUCGAAUUCCUUAAGAAGAGAUUACUUGGUUUUUUUGGUAGUUUUACGUUUUCAGUUGUAUAAUUUUAGCAUUAGUUAAGUGACAACAACUUCUUCUCCAUUAUGUAUCACCCACUUGAGACUCCUCACGAGCAACAACCAUAUUUCUUCAUUUUUCCCUUUAUUGUAACCUAAUUUGUU
RNA transcript from Gastrolobium bilobum, 2235 nucleotides. RefSeq lists it as uncharacterized. The record is from RefSeq and is a predicted model, not a curated record. The transcript is spliced from 4 exons. NCBI's taxonomy places the organism in Eukaryota, Viridiplantae, Streptophyta, Magnoliopsida, Fabales, Fabaceae.